Molecule: long non-coding RNA, 539 nt
Filed under: Pan troglodytes (chimpanzee)
Lineage: Eukaryota; Metazoa; Chordata; Mammalia; Primates; Hominidae
Description: lincRNA
Source: RNAcentral
AUCUUUGUCUGUGCUACCAAGGGCUAGGUGAUCUACAUGCCCCCUGGCACAUGGAAGGCACUCAUUAAACAUUUAUUGAGAGAAGGAAUGGAUACAUUUGGGCUACACAAGUAGCCUGUGAAUCUAGUUUUGUAAACUCCAUUUUACAGCGAAGGUAUCUAGUUUACCCAAGAUCACGCUCUAGUGUAAGAAUUAGGAGCACGAACCCUGAAGCCAGAGGACACCCUACUCCCUGCCUCAUUACUAUGUGAAGAGCAUCCUCACCGGGAGUAGAUUCCAUCUCAAGAAACCACUUUCUUUGCAUAUCCAUAAGAAGCAAUUCUUCAUCCAUUCAAGUCCUACCAUGAGAUUGCAACAAUCAAGUCACAUCUUCAGGUUCCACUUCUAAUUCCAGUUCUCUUGCUAUUUUCACCACAUCUGCAGUUACUUUCUCCACUAAAGUCUGGAACCCUUCAAAAUCACCCAUGAAGUUUGGUAUCAGCUUCUUUCAAGCUCCUGUUAAUAUUGCUUUUUGACCUUCUAGGAGAUGUGAAUGUUCU